AUUGAACGCUGGCGGCAGGCUUAACACAUGCAAGUCGAGCGGAGAGAGGUAGCUUGCUACUGAUCUUAGCGGCGGACGGGUGAGUAAUGCUUAGGAAUCUGCCUAUUAGUGGGGGACAACAUUUCGAAAGGAAUGCUAAUACCGCAUACGUCCUACGGGAGAAAGCAGGGGAUCUUCGGACCUUGCGCUAAUAGAUGAGCCUAAGUCGGAUUAGCUAGUUGGUGGGGUAAAGGCCUACCAAGGCGACGAUCUGUAGCGGGUCUGAGAGGAUGAGCCGCCACACGGGGACUGAGACACGGCCCAGACUACUACGGGAGGCAGCAGUGGGGAAUAUUGGACAAUGGGCGCAAGCCUGAUCCAGCCAUGCCGCGUGUGUGAAGAAGGCCUUAUGGUUGUAAAGCACUUUAAGCGAGGAGGAGGCUACUUUAGUUAAUACCUAGAGAUAGUGGACGUUACUCGCAGAAUAAGCACCGGCUAACUCUGUGCCAGCAGCCGCCGUAA
Molecule: ribosomal RNA, 501 nt
Filed under: uncultured bacterium
Lineage: Bacteria
Description: partial 16S ribosomal RNA
Rfam family: Bacterial small subunit ribosomal RNA
Source: RNAcentral